UGGAGAGGUUGUCCUCUUAAAAGAUGUC
RNAcentral lists this non-coding RNA (28 nucleotides) under Mus musculus (house mouse). Lineage: Eukaryota; Metazoa; Chordata; Mammalia; Rodentia; Muridae. The record is from RNAcentral.